GUGCUUGCUUCAGCAGCACGUAUGCUAAAAUUGGAAUGAUACAGAGAAGAUUAGCAUUGCUCCUGCCCAAGGAUGACAUGCAAAUUUGUGAAGCAUUCCAUAUUUUU
RNAcentral lists this small nuclear RNA (107 nucleotides) under Tursiops truncatus (common bottlenose dolphin). Lineage: Eukaryota; Metazoa; Chordata; Mammalia; Artiodactyla; Delphinidae. The record is from RNAcentral.